GUUAUCUUGGCAGAAUAGUGCAAUUGAUUUAGAAUCUUUAUAUGUAGAUUGGCAUCUAUAGAUAACACUU
Molecule: transfer RNA, 70 nt
Filed under: Cryptocephalus flavolimbatus
Lineage: Eukaryota; Metazoa; Arthropoda; Insecta; Coleoptera; Chrysomelidae
Description: tRNA-Leu
Rfam family: tRNA
About the family: Transfer RNA (tRNA) molecules are approximately 80 nucleotides in length.
Source: RNAcentral